Molecule: ribosomal RNA, 348 nt
Filed under: Triticum aestivum (bread wheat)
Lineage: Eukaryota; Viridiplantae; Streptophyta; Magnoliopsida; Poales; Poaceae
Description: partial small subunit ribosomal RNA
Source: RNAcentral
AUGAUCAUUGGAAAUGGCUCGACGGCGCUGUUUUGGGAGGAUCGCUGGAUUGGCGGGCAAUCCGUCGGUGAGAUCGCCCCCCUGCUCUACCAAUGCAUACCCAAACGUAGACGCAAAGCCAGGACGGUGGCAGAAGGGCUGGCGGGUAACUCUUGGGCACAUGAUAUACAUGGGAUCCUGGGCCUGCACGAGAUCAGCCAAUACCUGCUGCUUUGGCAGGCAGUGUGCCACACCACCCUGACGAACGAGCCGGAUCGCUUGCUCUGGAGGUGGACCGCCAACAGCAUCUACUCGGCACGCUCGUGCUAUGCGGCCAGUUUUCAGGGAUCCACACGGUGCCAUUCCUGA